UUUAAAGAAAGAACAUAUCGUCAACCAUCACUUACUGAA
This 39-nucleotide small RNA is filed under the name Paraphysomonas vestita. RNAcentral's name for it is "partial Mitochondrion-encoded tmRNA". The record is from RNAcentral. Lineage: Eukaryota; Chrysophyceae; Chromulinales; Paraphysomonadaceae.